AAGUCGUAACAAGGUUUCCGUAGGUGAACCUGCGGAAGGAUCAUUAUUGAAUGAAUGUAGAGUUGGUUGUCGCUGGCCCUCUUGGGCAUGUGCACGCCUUCUCUUUCAUCCACACACACCCCUGUGCACUUGUGAGACGGAGGACUUUAAUUAGUCUUCCGUCUACUUAAUCACACAAACUCAUUUAAUUAAAUUGAAUGUAAUUGAUGUAACGCAUCAUUAAAACUAAGUUUCAACAACGGAUCUCUUGGCUCUC
This 256-nucleotide unclassified non-coding RNA is filed under the name fungal sp. RNAcentral describes it as "partial internal transcribed spacer region". The stretch from base 1 to 46 matches the Rfam family "Eukaryotic small subunit ribosomal RNA", at positions 1786 to 1831 of the family's 1831-position model. Lineage: Eukaryota; Fungi. The record is from RNAcentral.